CAGGGAGGGAAGGGAAGCUUUGCUGUCUGCUCCCACACGGCCAGUGCAGCUCUCCAUGCCCCGGGGGCUCUGCCAUCCGCAGCCCCCAUCCACAGCCAGCCAGACCAGGAUCGAAUUUGCCUCGGUGCUGAUGAGGUCUGGCAGUGUCUGACUCAGGCUGGACCCGACGUGGUGUGGGAAGGGGGAAGAGGGAGCUGGCAAGUAGGGAAGAUGCUCACGGGGAUGGGCAACCAGGCAGGGUCUCAAGGACCCCUCCCCUGAUGGCUGUUGUGUGCAAUUUCUCUGGCCAGAUCCACCUCUCACCCUUUAUUCCAGAGCCAUGGAGCUGGGACCAGACCAGUGGCUCACAGGAGGUGUUCCAUAUACAUCCCAACGCCGGGAGAACUGUUUAUAAUCCUUUUCAAGGGAUCACUUUGCUCAGUCCUCUUCCCAUAACAAAUCAGAAGGAUUAGGGAUCUGCCUGCUGACUAUUGGCUUCGUCAUGCACUGAGAGGGUGCUGGGGAUUUAAAUCCGAGUUUCAAUUGCCCAACAGAGACACAGGUGAGUGUCUGUGCUCUCUGAAAUGGUUUUAAUGUCUCUGUGUCACCUGGGUCUUGCUGGGCCACAGUGAGCUGCAUGUUUUUGCACAGGAACCUCCACAUGUGACAGCAGCAGUCACUGUUUAACCCACAGAUGUGCUGGGUGACAGUCAGGACAGGACACUUGGAGGAGACUGUGAUCCAGCAGCAGUGGGAGGGAAGAGCCAUUCCCUCCUCCUUGCACGUGAGUUUGUGCCUUACAGCACAAGAAAAACAAAGGCUGUAACAUCCUUCUUGUUAAGCCUCUGCUUGUUCCAGCUUCUUGCUUUCUCCUAACUUGUUUUGCCUUCCUCAGGACAAAAUUUUCUUUUCCUUACACCAUGGAAGAAAUCCUCUGCCUCAUCCUCAACGAGGACCACAUCCAAAGGGAAUCCAGCCCAACCAUGCAAUUGGACCUCCCCACUGGCACCAGAGUAAUCUCCCUGAAUCAGAGACAGAACUGGACAUCAGCUGCUCUUUACAGCUCGAACCUGCUGCUGCUGCUCUGGCAAGGACUGCCAUGACUGAGGAUCUCCAUCACUUCUGCCUCUCUUCCUGGUCCAGCCCUGCACCCAUAGACCUGCUGCAGAGCAAAAGGUGCAGAAAGUCCUCUGUACAGUUUGAGGAAUCAUGUAAUGUGAAGAAAAAUCUGCUCUAGAAUGGAGGUGGGCUGCAAGGGACAUGGAGACAUCAGAGUGGCUAAAAUUGUAUUGCACUCCCACUCCCCUGCCAAUAAAAACACCAUAAAUAAAGUGGCUUUGCA
This 1321-nucleotide long non-coding RNA is filed under the name Manacus vitellinus (golden-collared manakin). RNAcentral's name for it is "lncRNA (ENSMVIG00005012576.1)". The record is from RNAcentral. Lineage: Eukaryota; Metazoa; Chordata; Aves; Passeriformes; Pipridae.